GACGAACGCUGGCGGCGUGCCUAAUACAUGCAAGUAGAACGCUGAAGAGAGGAGCUUGCUCUUCUUGGAUGAGUUGCGAACGGGUGAGUAACGCGUAGGUAACCUGCCUUGUAGCGGGGGAUAACUAUUGGAAACGAUAGCUAAUACCGCAUAACAAUGGAUGACACAUGUCAUUUAUUUGAAAGGGGCAAUUGCUCCACUACAAGAUGGACCUGCGUUGUAUUAGCUAGUAGGUGAGGUAAUGGCUCACCUAGGCGACGAUACAUAGCCGACCUGAGAGGGUGAUCGGCCACACUGGGACUGAGACACGGCCCAGACUCCUACGGGAGGCAGCAGUAGGGAAUCUUCGGCAAUGGGGGCAACCCUGACCGAGCAACGCCGCGUGAGUGAAGAAGAUUUUCGGAUCGUAAAGCUCUGUUGUAAGUCAAGAACGGGUGUGAGAGUGGAAAGUUCACACUGUGACGGUAGCUUAACAGAAAGGGACGGCUAACUACGUG
RNAcentral lists this ribosomal RNA (497 nucleotides) under uncultured bacterium. Its description in RNAcentral is "partial 16S ribosomal RNA". It matches the Rfam family "Bacterial small subunit ribosomal RNA", at positions 28 to 507 of the family's 1533-position model. The record is from RNAcentral.